UACGGUGGAUGCCUUGGCGUCAGGGGCCGAGGAAGGACGUGGCAAGCUGCGAUAAGCCCCGGGGAGCCGCAAGCGGGCGUAGAUCCGGGGAUGUCCGAAUGGGGGAACCUGGCGGAGGCGAACCUCCGUCAUCCCGUGCUGAAUCCAUAGGCACGGGAGGGGCACCGGGGGAAGUGAAACAUCUCAGUACCCCGAGGAAGAGAAAGCAAGCGCGAACCCCUGAGUAGUGGCGAGCGAAAGGGGGCGAGCCCAAACCGGCCUCGUGUUAAAGGCGGCCACCGUUGCGGGGCCGGGGUUGCGGGACGAACGGGGGCGUUCUGGCCGGGGCGCCGCGGGAUAAGGCUCUUUAGGGGAAGCGUGCUGGAAAGCACCGCCGGAGAGGGUAACAGCCCCGUACUCGAAAGGGAGCCGAAGCCCGUGCCGUUUGGACCCGAGUACUGCGGGGCACGUGGAACCCCGUAGGAAGCAGGGGGGACCACCCUCCAAGGCUAAACACCCCUGACGACCGAUAGUGGACUAGUACCGUGAGGGAAAGGUGAAAAGCACCCCGGGAGGGGAGUGAAAGAGAACCUGAAACCGUACGCCUACAAGCAGUGGGAGCCCCAAAAGGGUGACCGCGUACUUUUUGUAGAACGGGCCGGCGAGUUACGCUUGCAGGCGAGGUUAAGCGGCGGGAGCCGCGGAGCCGGAGCGAAAGCGAGUCUGAAGAGGGCGCUUAGUCUGCGGGCGUAGACCCGAAGCCGGGUGAGCUACCCAUGGCCAGGGUGAAGCGGAACUAACCUUUCGUGGAGGCCCGCACCGACCGUCGUUGAAAAGGCGGCGGAUGAGCUGUGGGUAGGGGUGAAAUGCCAAUCGAACCCGGUUAUAGCUGGUUCUCCCCGAAAUGCAUUGAGGUGCAGCCUCACACGGUCCCGGAGGGGGGUAGAGCACUGAUUGGGCUAGGGGCCUUCCCGGGUUACCGAACCCAGUCAAACUCCGAAUCCCGUCCGGGUGGAGUGUGGGAGUGAGACCGUGGGGGAUAAGCUUCACGGUCGAGAGGGGAACAGCCCAGACCGCCAGCUAAGGUCCCGGAGCGCGGGCUAAGUGGGGAAGGAUGUGGGGUUGCGGAGACAACCAGGAUGUUGGCUUAGAAGCAGCCAUCAUUUAAAGAGUGCGUAAUAGCUCACUGGUCAAGUGACCCUGCGCCGAAAAUGUAACGGGGCUGAAGCCCGCCACCGAAGCUGCGGAUUGGCUGGAAGGCCGAUGGUAGGGGAGCGUUCCGUGCCGGCGGAAGUUCCGCCGGGAGGCGGGGUGGACGGCACGGAAGUGAGAAUGCCGGCAUAAGUAAGCGCAAAGGCAGGUGAGAAUCCUGCCCGCCGAAAGCCUAAGGUUUCCUGGGGAAGGCUCGUCCGCCCAGGGUUAGUCGGGACCUAAGCCGAGGCCGAAGGGCGUAGGCGAUGGGCAAGCGGUCAAAAUUCCGCUACCACCGGUAGUCGCCAAAGACCGAAGGGGGGACCCGGAAGGGUAGGUGGAGCGCGCGGCUGGAAAGGCGCGUCCAAGCUGGUAGGGUGCGGGGCAGGCAAAUCCGCCCCGCUGAAAGGCCCGAGAAGCGAUGGGGAGGGAAAUUUAGUACCGAAGCCACCGGACCCAGGCCGGCGAGAAAAGCCUCUAAGGGAGCUACCGGUGCCCGUACCGCAAACCGACACAGGUAGGCGGGGUGAGGAACCUCAGGCGCGCGAGAGAACCCUCGCUAAGGAACUCGGCAAAAUGACCCCGUAACUUCGGGAGAAGGGGUGCCCCGUUAGGGUGAAGGUCCUGGCGGCCGGAGCCCGAGGGGGUUGCAGAGAGCAGGCCCAGGCGACUGUUUACCAAAAACACAGGUCCCUGCGAAAGCGCAAGCUGAGGUAUAGGGGCUGACGCCUGCCCGGUGCUGGAAGGUUAAGGGGACGCGUUAGGGGGCGACUCCGAAGCGCCGAACCGAAGCCCCAGUAAACGGCGGCCGUAACUAUAACGGUCCUAAGGUAGCGAAAUUCCUUGUCGGGUAAGUUCCGACCCGCACGAAAGGCGUAACGACUUGGGCGCUGUCUCAGCGAGGGGCUCGGCGAACUUGUAGUACCAGUGAAGAUGCUGGUUACCCGCGACGGGACAGAAAGACCCCGUGGAGCUUUACUGCAGCCUGACAUUGGACUUUGGUACGGCAUGUACAGGAUAGGUGGGAGGCGGGGAAGCCGGGACGCCAGUUCCGGUGGAGCCGGCGGUGGGAUACCACCCUUGCGGUACUGGAGUUCUAACCCGCGGCCGUGAAUCCGGUUGGGGGACCGUGUCAGGUGGGCAGUUUGACUGGGGCGGUCGCCUCCCAAAGGGUAACGGAGGCGUCCAAAGGUACCCUCAGCGCGGUUGGAAAUCGCGCGGAGAGUGCAAAGGCAGAAGGGUGCUUGACUGUGAGACCGACGGGUCGAGCAGGGACGAAAGUCGGGCUUAGUGAUCCGGCGGUACCGAGUGGAAGGGCCGUCGCUCAACGGAUAAAAGCUACCCCGGGGAUAACAGGCUGAUCUCCCCCAAGAGUCCACAUCGACGGGGAGGUUUGGCACCUCGAUGUCGGCUCAUCGCAUCCUGGGGCUGGAGCAGGUCCCAAGGGUUGG
RNAcentral lists this ribosomal RNA (2621 nucleotides) under Bacillota bacterium. RNAcentral's name for it is "partial 23S ribosomal RNA". It matches the Rfam family "Bacterial large subunit ribosomal RNA", at positions 20 to 2575 of the family's 2925-position model. Lineage: Bacteria; Bacillati; Bacillota. The record is from RNAcentral.